Non-coding RNA from Eublepharis macularius, 72 nucleotides. The record is from the annotation of a RefSeq genome assembly. Lineage: Eukaryota; Metazoa; Chordata; Lepidosauria; Squamata; Eublepharidae.
GACCUUGUAGCACAAUGGUAGUGCAUCUGACUCCAGAUCAGAAGGCUGUGUGUUCAAAUCACACCAAGGUCA